UACGUAGGAUCCGAGCGUUGUCCGGAUUUACUGGGCGUAAAGGGUGCGUAGGCGGCCAACUAAGUCAGACGUGAAAUCCCUCGGCUUAACCGGGGAACUGCGUCUGAUACUGGAUGGCUUGAAUCCGGGAGAGGGAUGCGGAAUUCCAGGUGUAGCGGUGAAAUGCGUAGAUAUCUGGAGGAACACCGGUGGCGAAGGCGGCAUCCUGGACCGGCAUUGACGCUGAGGAGCGAAAGCCAGGGGAGCAAACGGG
RNAcentral lists this ribosomal RNA (253 nucleotides) under uncultured bacterium. RNAcentral's name for it is "partial 16S ribosomal RNA". It matches the Rfam family "Bacterial small subunit ribosomal RNA", at positions 524 to 776 of the family's 1533-position model. The record is from RNAcentral.